RNAcentral lists this ribosomal RNA (484 nucleotides) under Escherichia coli. Its description in RNAcentral is "partial 23S ribosomal RNA". It matches the Rfam family "Bacterial large subunit ribosomal RNA", at positions 1273 to 1759 of the family's 2925-position model. The record is from RNAcentral. Lineage: Bacteria; Pseudomonadati; Pseudomonadota; Gammaproteobacteria; Enterobacterales; Enterobacteriaceae.
CUGGAGGUAUCAGAAGUGCGAAUGCUGACAUAAGUAACGAUAAAGCGGGUGAAAAGCCCGCUCGCCGGAAGACCAAGGGUUCCUGUCCAACGUUAAUCGGGGCAGGGUGAGUCGACCCCUAAGGCGAGGCCGAAAGGCGUAGUCGAUGGGAAACAGGUUAAUAUUCCUGUACUUGGUGUUACUGCGAAGGGGGGACGGAGAAGGCUAUGUUGGCCGGGCGACGGUUGUCCCGGUUUAAGCGUGUAGGCUGGUUUUCCAGGCAAAUCCGGAAAAUCAAGGCUGAGGCGUGAUGACGAGGCACUACGGUGCUGAAGCAACAAAUGCCCUGCUUCCAGGAAAAGCCUCUAAGCAUCAGGUAACAUCAAAUCGUACCCCAAACCGACACAGGUGGUCAGGUAGAGAAUACCAAGGCGCUUGAGAGAACUCGGGUGAAGGAACUAGGCAAAAUGGUGCCGUAACUUCGGGAGAAGGCACGCUGAUAUGU